Molecule: ribosomal RNA, 489 nt
Filed under: uncultured bacterium
Lineage: Bacteria
Description: partial 16S ribosomal RNA
Rfam family: Bacterial small subunit ribosomal RNA
Source: RNAcentral
AUUGAACGCUGGCGGCAUGCUUUACACAUGCAAGUCGGACGGCAGCGGGGUAGUGCUUGCACUACUGCCGGCGAGUGGCGCACGGGUGAGUCAUAUAUUGGAACGUACCGAGUAAUGGGGGAUAACCAAUCGAAAGAUUGGCUAAUACCGCAUACGCUCUGAGGAGGAAAGCAGGGGACCUUCGGGCCUUGCGUUAUUCGAGCGGCCAAUAUCUGAUUAGCUAGUUGGUGGGGUACGGGCCUACCAAGGCGACGAUCAGUAGCGGGUCUGAGAGGAUGAUCCGCCACACUGGGACUGAGACACGGCCCAGCCUCCGACGGGAGGCAGCAGUGGGGAAUUUUGGACAAUGGGCGCAAGCCUGAUCCAGCCAGGCCGCGUGUCUGAAGAAGGCCUUCGGGUUGUAAAGGACUUUUGUAGGGAAGAAAAAGGAGCGGUUAAUACCCGUUUCUGCUGACGGUACCUAAAGAAUAAGCACCGGCUAACUACGUG